This 445-nucleotide ribosomal RNA is filed under the name uncultured bacterium. Its description in RNAcentral is "partial 16S ribosomal RNA". It matches the Rfam family "Bacterial small subunit ribosomal RNA", at positions 354 to 796 of the family's 1533-position model. The record is from RNAcentral.
GUAAGGAAUAUUGGACAAUGGACGCAAGUCUGAUCCAGCCAUGCCGCGUGAAGGAUUAAGGUCCUCUGGAUUGUAAACUUCUUUUAUAAGGGACGAAAAAAGGCUUUUCUAAGUCGUAUGACGGUACCUUAUGAAUAAGCACCGGCUAACUCCGUGCCAGCAGCCGCGGUAAUACGGAGGGUGCAAGCGUUAUCAGGAUUCACUGGGUUUAAAGGGUGCGUAGGCGGGCAGGUAAGUCAGUAGUGAAAUCCUAGAGCUGAACUCUAGAACUGCCAUUGACACUAUCUGUCUUGAAUAUUGUGGAAGUAAGCGGAAGAUGUCAUGUAGCUGUGAAAUACUUAGAUAUGACAUAGAACACCUAUUGCGAUGGUAGCUUACUACGCAUAUAUUGACGCUGGUGCACGAAAGCGAGGGUAUCAAACAGGAUUAGAUACCCGGGUAGUCC